UUGGAUCAAGGACACAUUUAAAACCUGCAGGACACCGGCCCUCGAGGCCUGGAGUUCCCCACCCCUGAUCUAAAUAAAUAAAGAACAAAUGGGAAACAAAGUAACUGAAAUCUAUCCGCUUGUAAAGGGUUACAAAGAUGUUUCUAAAGCUUUGAGAUGUCAGAAAACCAUUAUCCACAAAUAGAAAACACUGAGGAAGGUUCCCAGGAGUGGCUAGCCUACCAAAAUUACUCCAAGAUCACCUCAACAGCUCAUCCAAGAGGUCACAAAAGAACCCAGAACAUACUGUAAAGAAGUGCAUGCCUCAUUUGUUUUAGUUAAAAUCAGUCAAAGUUUUCAUGAUUUAACAAUAAGAAAGAGACUGGGCAAAAAUGUCAUCCAUGGAUUACGAAAAGGGUUAGGGUGUAGAACUAACACAGCAUUUCAUUAAAAGAAUAUCAAACCAGCAGUGAAACACGGUGGUGGUAGUGUGAUGGUCUCCUGCUUCUGCUGUAACUGGAACCAUGAAUUCUUCUCUGUACCAGAAAAUCCUAAAGUCCAGUUAUCGUUUCAAAUCUUCAAGCUCAAGUACACUUGGAUUAUGCAACAGAAUAAUGAUAAAAAAAAAAACAUAAGCAAGUCCACCAUUAAAUGGCUAAAAAAAGAAAACAAAAUUAAGGUUUUGGAAUGGCCUAGUCAAAGUUCAAACUUAAAUCUGAUUAGGAUGCUUUGGCAUAACAUUAAAAAAAGCUAUUCAUGCUAAAAAUCCUCUAGUGGGACUAAAUUAAAACAAUUCUGGAAAGAUAAGGUGGCCAAAAUUCCUCCACUGCGAUGUUAAACACUUGUGCCAGUUAUUGCAAACGCUUGAUUGCAGUUGGCAUAUAUAAUCGGAGACAUAUCAGUACUAAAUGUUAAAGCUAGGGAAGUGUCUGAUUAUACUCCCGAUCCAGAAGUGGGACAGUGGGGAUAGGCACUGUCUUGCUGAAACAGCCACAGGGUGCCGUACUGCUUCUACCUACUAUUGAAGCUGGAAAUCUAAAGACUAGAGCACAGUGGGAACAAUAGUAAGCAGUAUAAACAUAAUGAGCAAACCAAGUAAAAACAGGGCUGUUUAAUAUUUCGCAAAAUUUAUGACAAAACCACAACCCUUUGGUAGUUGAUGACAUCUUAAAAUCUGUGGGAAAAAGGACCAAAAUCCUACUCUACACUUUCUAAAUUGUGAACUUAACCACACACCCAAGCUUCCCUUGUGACCACUGAGAUAUAGAUGUCACAUAUCAGAUGCACUGAACCAACUACUGUCAGUGAACAGAAUCAAGGCAACAAUUACUUGUCCUCCAAACUGCAUUUGGAAAACCAAAUUAGUAGGGUAUGUACACAUAUUUAUAGUGAUGAGGUGGCACUAUAUUGGCAGGUUUACUACAAGGUU
Long non-coding RNA from Astatotilapia calliptera (eastern happy), 1408 nucleotides. The record is from Ensembl. Lineage: Eukaryota; Metazoa; Chordata; Actinopteri; Cichliformes; Cichlidae.